This 404-nucleotide ribosomal RNA is filed under the name uncultured bacterium. Its description in RNAcentral is "bacterial SSU rRNA". It matches the Rfam family "Bacterial small subunit ribosomal RNA", at positions 355 to 775 of the family's 1533-position model. The record is from RNAcentral.
UGGGGAAUUUUGCGCAAUGGGCGAAAGCCUGACGCAGCGACGCCGCGUGGGGGAUGAAGGCCUUCGGGUUGUAAACCUCUUUCAGCAGGGACGAAUUCAGACGGUACCUGCAGAAGAAGCACCGGCCAACUACGUGCCAGCAGCCGCGGUAAUACGUAGGGUGCAAGCGUUGUCCGGAAUUAUUGGGCGUAAAGAGCUCGUAGGCGGUCUGUCGCGUCGGCUGUGAAAACUUGGGGCUCAACCCCAAGCCUGCAGUCGAUACGGGCAGACUAGAGUGCGGUAGGGGAGACUGGAAUUCCUGGUGUAGCGGUGAAAUGCGCAGAUAUCAGGAGGAACACCGGUGGCGAAGGCGGGUCUCUGGGCCGUAACUGACGCUGAGGAGCGAAAGCGUGGGGAGCGAACAG